Molecule: ribosomal RNA, 484 nt
Filed under: uncultured bacterium
Lineage: Bacteria
Description: partial 16S ribosomal RNA
Rfam family: Bacterial small subunit ribosomal RNA
Source: RNAcentral
AUUGAACGCUGGCGGCAUGCCUAACACAUGCAAGUCGAGCGGAUGAAGGGAGCUUGCUCCUGGAUUCAGCGGCGGACGGGUGAGUAAUGCCUAGGAAUCUGCCUGGUAGUGGGGGAUAACGUCCGGAAACGGGCGCUAAUACCGCAUACGUCCUGAUGGAGAAAGUGGGGGAUCUUCGGACCUCACGCUAUCAGAUGAGCCUAGGUCGGAUUAGCUAGUUGGUGGGGUAAAGGCCUACCAAGGCGACGAUCCGUAACUGGUCUGAGAGGAUGAUCAGUCACACUGGAACUGAGACACGGUCCAGACUCCUACGGGAGGCAGCAGUAGGGAAUAUUGGACAAUGGGCGAAAGCCUGAUCCAGCCAUGCCGCGUGUGUGAAGAAGGUCUUCGGAUUGUAAAGCACUUUAAGUUGGGAGGAAGGGAAGUAAGUUAAUACCUUGCUGUUUUGACGUUACCAACAGAAUAAGCACCGGCUAACUUCGUG